This 76-nucleotide transfer RNA is filed under the name Stegodyphus mimosarum. It matches the Rfam family "tRNA". From Rfam's summary of the family: Transfer RNA (tRNA) molecules are approximately 80 nucleotides in length. Their secondary structure includes four short double-helical elements and three loops (D, anti-codon, and T loops). Further hydrogen bonds mediate the characteristic L-shaped molecular structure. tRNAs have two regions of fundamental functional importance: the anti-codon, which is responsible for specific mRNA codon recognition, and the 3' end, to which the tRNAs corresponding amino acid is attached (by aminoacyl-tRNA synthetases). tRNAs cope with the degeneracy of the genetic code in two manners: having more than one tRNA (with a specific anti-codon) for a particular amino acid; and 'wobble' base-pairing, i.e. permitting non-standard base-pairing at the 3rd anti-codon position. The record is from Rfam by way of RNAcentral. Lineage: Eukaryota; Metazoa; Arthropoda; Arachnida; Araneae; Eresidae.
GCCUUCGUGGUGUAGUCGUGGUGAGCCCACUCGACGCGUAAUCGAGAGGUCCGUGGUUCGAUUCCUGGCGAGGGCA